UUGGGACGGAGGUAACGUGCAUAUGACUCCCCGCUUCAGCUCCUGGAUCUAAGGAAAGCCUUUCAUUGCCUCUGGUCUCCAGUUAUAAAAGAAACUGUUAUGGCUCAGGCUCGCAGGCUUCAGGAAAGUUCCAGCACCUCAAAUGCAUUCAGUUAAUAUGCUGAAUAUUGACUCACAUGUGGCCAGCACUGAAAUGACACUUCCUCAUUUCUGAAGCAUGGCUUAAUCUUCACAGCCUGGUGAAGUCAGCUGGCAUCAUUUUCCCCUAUGAAUGGGGAAAAAUGGCAGGAAAAAGUAAGGUAUUUUAUGAAAUGCCAUUAUUGCCUUCAGGUUUUAUUCAAGGAAGUGCUCCUGUAAGUUUCUGCUGAGCUAACUAAUGAAAACAUACCAGAAGUAAUGGAGGAAGUGAUUGUGAUCCCAGGUGACUAAGAAAGAAGAGAAUGCUUUCUGUUAAGUUACCUAUGCCCAGCUGCCUUGAAGGAAGUUGGAAGGGAAUUUGCCUUUCCCAAUAUGUAAGGGCCACACUUGGACACAGCAGCCCAAUAUAACUGACAGUGAGGUGUGCUAAAAUUAGUUUAUACAGCAUCUUUGCUGCACUGACAGCAUCUCCCCUGGGGCUGCUUAAGGCACAAGGCCCUGCGUUCCUGCUCAGUGAAAGAAUGGGUGCGUCUUUUUUCAGCACUUACUCAGCCUGGCAGUCUCAGUCUGCAAGUGUUUUUCAUGUGUUGUCACUUGGAGAGACGUUGCAAGGAGAAGCAGAGCAAACUUGUCUGAGAACAAGAGAAGCAGUGAGAGAAUCACAGCGUCACAGACUGUUAGGGGUUGGGAGGGACCUCAAAAGAUCAUCCAGUCCAACCCCUCCUGCCAGGGCAGGAUCACACAGGAACACAUCCAGGUGGGUUUUGAAUGCCUCCAGAGAAGGAGACUCCGCAGCCUCUCUGGGCAGCCUGCUCCAGAGCUCUGGCACCCUCACAGAGAAAAGGUUUUUCUUUCUGUUCCUGUGGCACUUCCUCUGCUCCAGCUUGCACCCAAUGCCCCUUGGACAUCCCUGAGCAGAGCCUGGCUCUGUCUUCCCAACACUGCCCUUCACAUCUGUAGCAACAUGACCAAGGGCACCCCUCAGGCUCCUCUUCACCAAGCUACAGAGCCCCAGCUCCCUCAGCCUGUCCUCACAGGGAGAUGUUCCAUUGCCUUCAGCAGCUCUGUGGCUCUGUGCUGGAGUCUUUCAAGCAGUUCCCUGCGUCCCAGGAAGUGCAAGGAGACAAGAGACGGAAAGAAAUUGAAGCAAGGAGCAAAUAUGCUGAAGAUCUGCCUUUGGAUACCUUGGAGUUUGCAGCUGUGUAGUUGCCAGUGUGAUUUGACACAUUUGCUAGUUAUUUGACUUAUGGAAGGUAGUUACUGUCUACAGCAUGCAUCCUGUGUGCAUCCUUAAGCAUGUGUGGACACAAGGAAGCCCUGUGUUACAGAAGAGAGACCAUCUGGAUCAGAAACAGCAGUUUUUAUCUCACAAGAUAUUGAAUUCACUGGCUGGAGAAGAGCUGCAGACUAGAGAAAACAGAAGAAUUUGCUGAGGAAGCAGAAGAAGAGAGCCUUUGGCACGGAGCACUGCCAUGAUCUGUGCAAGAAUUCCCAUGGCAGGAGCAGCCUGACACAAUGGAGGCACUUUUUGCUUCAGGGUUUUACUGCCAGCACCUGAUGGACAAAUCUGAAGCCUCCAGGGGAUGAGCCCAAAGCAGCACCCACUGUGGAGAGCCCUUCCACACUGCCUCAGGGAGUCUGAUUGGAAACCAGGCAGCUGUGCAGCAGAUGUCAGCGUGGAGCUUACUGUGGCAUGGGAGAGAAGACAGCACCAGCAAACCACAGCAAGUGCUUAGCCUGCAGUGCAAAGCUCUAAAUCAUCCCUGCUGACAGAAGUGGACAAGCUGAAGCUGAAGUUUCUGAGCAGAGUGCUUGGAGUGGCAUCCUGUGCGUCAGCCCCCGAGCCGUGACCCCUCUUUUCCUCCCGCCCAAGAGACAAAUGCUUGGAAUAAGACCCAGAGGCCUGAUCCCGAAGCCCAUUAGCCUUUGGAAAGGCUGCCUAUGAUGUCAGUGGAUUUUGGAACAAGCUUUUGAUGCUUUCUGCUUCCUAAGGGGAAGAAGGAUCCUUUGCAAUGACUUUUAUCUGGAUAUCCAGCCCAGGCUUUGGCCGUCGCUCGCUGCCACUGACCUCUGCCACGAGCACAGCUGUCUGCAGCCCUGGGAGAGAUGACAGUGCCCUGAUGUCCUGAGCAACAGCUGCACACUACCUGCCUGGGAGAUCACUCAGGGGGCUGUGGAGAGCAGUCCAAAGGGACACAAAAUCCUCCCUGGGAGCUCCUGUGGCAGUGCUCUGUGUGUACAGGGCUGAGGAGAGAAGUGAUGAGCUUAGAAUCAUAGAGUCAGAAUGGGUUAGGUUGGAAGAGACCUCAAAGCUCAGCCAGUGCCAACCCCCAGCCAUAGGCAGGGACACCUCCCACUAGAACAGGUCACUCAAAGACUCAUCCAACCUGGUCCUGAGCACCUCCCUGGGCAACCUGUGCCAGUGUCUCGCCACCCUCAGCCUGUGCCAGUGUCUCACCACCCUCACUCCAAAGAACCCUUUCCUAACAUCCACUUUCAGUCUCCCCUCUGCCACUUCAAACCCAUUCCUCCUCAUCCUCUCAUUCCCAGACCUUGUCAAUAAUCCCUCCCCAGCUGUCCUGUAGCCCCCUUCAGAUCCUGGACAGGUUGCACAUCCACUGCUGCAUUGCCAAGAGCUUGGCACAUCCUUUUUGGGACCAUACUUGGUGGUUAACAGCAGGUAAGGUUGUCCAGUGGCCCAUCCUCAUGCCACACUGUAGAGAGAAAGAGAGAGAGGAAGAGAGGAAGAGAGAAGGAAAGUAGAAAGGAAAGGAAGGAAGGAAGGAAGGAAGGAAGGAAGGAAGGAAGGAAGGAAGGAAGGAAGGAAAGAAAGAAAGAAAGAAAGAAAGAAAGAAAGAAAGAAAGAAAGAAAGAAAGAAAGAAAGAAAGAAAGAAAGAA
Molecule: long non-coding RNA, 3037 nt
Organism: Pogoniulus pusillus (Red-fronted tinkerbird)
Lineage: Eukaryota; Metazoa; Chordata; Aves; Piciformes; Lybiidae
Exons: 7
Source: RefSeq, a predicted model, not a curated record